Chelonia mydas (Green sea turtle) is the source of this 577-nucleotide long non-coding RNA. RefSeq lists it as uncharacterized. The record is from RefSeq and is a predicted model, not a curated record. Lineage: Eukaryota; Metazoa; Chordata; Testudines; Cheloniidae. The transcript has 2 exons.
CAGUUGCUGCUGGGAGAUUAGGGAGUGAGGACUGUGUCCCUGGAGGGCUGAGAGAACUGCUGAUGUCCUACAAUAAGAAAGGAUUUCCUGUCCCUAAAGGGAAUACUUCUCCUCAACUAUCACUGUUUUAUUAGUAAAUACACAGCAUAGUGAUCAGGGCAACUCGCAUUCAGCAAAAUCAAACAGCAGCAUGAAAGGUGGCGAGGACCAGCAAGAGGAAGACUGCACAAAUGCAAAUGGGAAAAAAAUCCGAAGAUUUAAAAAGGAACCAAGGAGCACUAAGUAAGAGUUGAAAAGGAAGCCAGAGCUAGUGUUUCAGUGCAGAGGGCUGUCUAGUGCUGCCUGUGACGGGCCUGGCUCUACAAGGGAUGAGGUGAAGGCAGAUUAAGUGGAGUCCAUCUCUGUCACAACGCGCAAGCAUUUCUGUACAGUCCCAGCCAGCUUUCCUCCCAUGGGAGGGGCAACAAUAUUUAUGGGCCUUGGGUUUUUUGCUGGUUGCAAAGUUGUUUGGCCACAAGAUACAGUUUGGUAGGAAGCUUUGAAAUAAAGAUGGAAGGAGUUAAUCUCUAAAAUUAAA